Molecule: ribosomal RNA, 253 nt
Filed under: uncultured bacterium
Lineage: Bacteria
Description: partial 16S ribosomal RNA
Rfam family: Bacterial small subunit ribosomal RNA
Source: RNAcentral
UACAGAGGGUGCGAGCGUUGUCCGGAAUCACUGGGCGUAAAGGGCGCGUAGGCGGCUUCUUAAGCGUGUGGUGAAAGCGCGGGGCUCAACCCCGCGUCGGCCGUGCGAACUGGGGAGCUGGAGCACGUCAGAGGCAGGCGGAAUUCCGGGUGUAGCGGUGGAAUGCGUAGAGAUCCGGAAGAACACCGGUGGCGAAGGCGGCCUGCUGGGACGUGGCUGACGCUGAGGCGCGACAGCGUGGGGAGCAAACAGG